ACACAUCAUCAAACCUAUAGAACAUUCAACGGUGUUCGUAUGAGAGCUGUAUAAUAUAUUUAAUUGGAUUUGGAAUUGCAGUCGAUGUUUGAAAUAUCGCAAUGGCAAAAGACCGUUUGGAUGUCGUACCUUGGUAGGUGUUUGCACUCUGCAUGUUGAAAACAGAUUGGACAAGUUGAUUGGACUCUCUGAAGACUGAAAUACAAAACCUCUCAAAUAAUGGGGCAAAUAUGUUGAUAAUGGAGAAGGACAUCAUUAGUAUGAGAAUUUUAAUCACUAUGGACGUUGUCAUCUCUCUACUUUAUAGAAAUCUUACUCUUCAUAUUGCCAUCUAUUCAAAUCUUCUGUAUGACAUUAUAUAGUGCUAUAAAAGUAAUGAACCCCUUAGAGAUUUCUUCUAUUUCCAGUGGUGUUUCAAAAUAAGCAGUGUCGAUGUCAUGAAAAGAGAAUCGGAAUAAAUAGUUUUUCAAAUGGCAAUUUAAUUUAUGAAGAGAAACAAGCUAUUGAAUUUAUUUUUUUUAGCAUUUUAUUUUAACUAUGAUUAACAACAUUUUUGGAAUAAUUUUAGUUUCGCCAACCAAAACAAGACCUUGUUACUGCCGGAUGCGCAAAAAUGAUUUGUAAAGCACAUUUCAGGAACGAGGCAGUUCAAGGUACUUUACGUCAUGAAGUCACAAAAGUCAUAGAAACACAGUCAAAUAUUGAAACAUUGCAUUGUGUCGAUGAAUUUCAAAAUGUUGAUUGUUUCAUUAAUGAUAUUUCCAGUGUUGUUGGUCUGCAUGAGCCAGUUCUCCAUAUGGACUGGACAGUGGAGCAUUGGACGGCGAACUAUUAGAAAUGCUGGGUCGUACAGAUAGGAGCUUGGUAUUGCCAGCCAUGAAUGGAAGUUGUCUGAGGUUAUAUCUCAAAAAGAUGCAUUGUGGACUGUAGCGGGUUCAUCCUGAAAAGGUUGUCAGUCAAUCGCAGGCUCAAGAUUGACAGACCAUUGUCCCACUCAUCACAUGAAGUGCACUCAGAUGGACCUUAGUCAACAAUGAGGCUACAGCACAAGAAAUUUUAUUAUGUGGGCAUUUUUGAGUAUAUUGCCUGAAAUUGAGAUGGAAGAUUUUAGAAAGCCAAUGAUUCUACGGUGCAGCCCAAAUGGUUUACCUUAGUGGUUCUUUUUUUUUUUUUUCCCCAGCUCCCUUCUCCUCUCCCAUUUACAGUAACCAGAAAAGAAAAUGCAGCCUCUUUCUUUAUACCUUUAAAAGAAAAACAAAUGUCUUGGUGUGUUAUAAACGGUGUUGCUUUUAUUGAGAAGAACAACCUUCAUUUUUACUGAACUGGAAACUUGAACAAAAAUUGUUGAAAUGAAUUAGAUCUGUUUUUUUAAAGUCUUCUCAAUAUUGGAAUAAAAAAAAUGAAAAACAAUAGCCUGCUGAGGAUAAAACGUAUAAAAGGAGUUUUAGUGUGGAGGAAAAAAAACCCUAUUCUGUAAAAAAAAAAAAAAAAAAAAUCGUCUGGAUUACAACUAAGAGGCUAAGAAGCACAUGAGCUCACAAAAGCACAAGAGCGAGGCCACAGGAGGAUGACGGUCACCCUUGGCUUUAUCUGAGACAGAUGACAGCAAAGCCUGUAUUGGAGCAAACGCUCCUGCACUCAGAUCAGAUGAUCAGCAGGGAGACGGAUCUGCAGAUGGACGGAGGUUGUUUUGUAAAGGGCAGAACACACUGGGGGUGAAUGAUGCAAGGGGGGAAAAAAAACAACAACAAAAAAACACACCUCCUUUAAUUUAUGUUUACCAAGCCUAAACUGGCAGCUGCAGCAGACUGCAGCUCUGUGGAGUGGCCUUCUGAUUCUUCAUCGCCUUUGUGCAAAUAUUACAGGCCACUCCUAAUUUCAUUUUUUUUCUAAUAUGAAACAUGUUUUUUUUUUUUUUUUAUCUUCUUAAACAAUCAUGACAGAUUUUAUUUUAUUUCCCCCCCCAGCCUGUCAAAGCUGUUCACAUUCCCCACCUCACCCAGCUGGACCACUGUCGACCUCCUGCUGCUGUAAUUUCUGCUGUGAGUAUGAGGUAAUCCUUCCCCAACAAAGCACAUACGCCUGCUAUUGUUAAAAAAGAAAUGAUUAGCGCCUCUUUGACUCAAGUGAGGAAGAACACACAUUGACGUGGAGAAUCAGGUGAACGGAGGGGAUCGUGACUCAAGCAACUAGAAAAAGAGGAUUGAACUAAUCCCUGGGCCCAGAUACAGAAAAGUGGAUAUAAACGAAACAUUGUUCAUCUGAGUUUUAAUACACGCAUGUAAAAUACACAUAAUACACAUUUUGUCACUUUACAAGCGCAAACUCAAGUGACUUUUAUUGGGAACAUCUGUAGUAAGAAUACUAAUAUGGGGACUUCUGAAAAUCAUUUGUUGAACUGGAUUUUUGUUUAGGGGCAUCAUGUAAAAGGGGAGGUACACUGAGGAAUGCAACACAAAUAAUUUCCUUCUUUUUCCACUAUAAUGCACCACAAGAAUUCUCGGUGACUCAAAACUAAAUAGCAGUGUAGCAGGGAAUGGUGUUUUGUCUGUAGCUGUUAUUGAUGCGGCCGGACCCACAAAAAUAACGCAAAAACUCUUUGUCAUUUUACUUAUUUUGGUCACGAUCCCCUGCGCUUGCUGGAGUCCAUACUUUGAUGCAUUUUCUUGCUCGCUUGACUCAAACAGACCCUAAUCGCUUCUUCUUCUUCUUCACAGUAGUAGACAUCUGUGCUUUGUUGUGGAAAGAUUACAUCACACUCAAAGCAGAAAUUACGGCUGCCGUAACCUUAGAAGGCUAACAGCGGUCCAUCCGGGUUAGACGGAAUAUGUGAAACCGAAAAGGGAGUGCAGAAUCCUUUGUUUUCUCAGAGUGUUUUCAGAAAUGCUCAGUGGGUGGCGGGAGAGGGAUAGAGGUUAUAACGGCAUGACUGAAUCCACGGUAGCGGGGUGUCGGAACAGGACAUGCAGCGCACCGGCGGUUCUAAGCAUCUGCUCAUGGGAAAAAUCAAUCGCCUAAUUUCCAAGGUGAAGCUGGCGGAUUUUACGUGGAGAGAAAAAAAAAAAAAGAUCCAAUUCUAAAAAUGUGUUGCAUCUCAAAUGCAUCUUUCUCUCUCUGAGAGCAUCCAGAUAUCUCUUAUGGUGUAAUUGAAAACUCAGUGCCAUGCCACUACAACCAGAACAGUUUGGCCGGUGAAGCAUCUGCGAGCAGUUCUGGAUCUGGCUCGACUCUUUUGAGGCAGGCGCUGGCAGGCUGAUUAAAAAAAAAAAGUAGGAAAAAAAAAAAG
Long non-coding RNA from Poecilia latipinna (sailfin molly), 3286 nucleotides. RefSeq lists it as uncharacterized. The transcript is spliced from 2 exons. The record is from RefSeq and is a predicted model, not a curated record. NCBI's taxonomy places the organism in Eukaryota, Metazoa, Chordata, Actinopteri, Cyprinodontiformes, Poeciliidae.